Molecule: long non-coding RNA, 208 nt
Filed under: Elaeis guineensis (African oil palm)
Lineage: Eukaryota; Viridiplantae; Streptophyta; Magnoliopsida; Arecales; Arecaceae
Description: long non-coding RNA (EGUI_LNC065981)
Source: RNAcentral
UGCCAUGAGUUGAUCGAAAGAUUUGAAUGGACAUCCGAACUCAAAUUUAAUCUGUGAUUAGCUAAGACCCUUGAGAUUCAAUGCAAAAGAAGGAUCUUUAGGUGAUCUGUUGGCCUUAGUUUUUAUAUAGAGUUUGAUCUUUUUGAUGGAGGAUCGACAUCAAUUGGUAGUUUUAGGGAUCGGACUACUAUGGUGCAUCAUCUGCCAC